AACGAACGCUGGCGGUAUGCUUAACACAUGCAAGUCGAACGAACAAAAUUGGGGCUUGCUCCAAUUUUAGUGAGUGGCAAACGGGUGAGUAACACGUGGGAAUCUACCUAUCAGUACGGAAUAACAUUUGGAAACAGAUGCUAAUACCGUAUAUUCUCCAAGGAGGAAAGAUUUAUCGCUGAUAGAUGAGCCCGCGCAAGAUUAGGUAGUUGGUAGGGUAAUGGCCUACCAAGCCUACGAUCUUUAGCUGGUCUGAGAGGAUGAUCAGCCACACUGGGACUGAGACACGGCCCAGACUCCUACGGGAGGCAGCAGUGGGGAAUAUUGGACAAUGGGCGAAAGCCUGAUCCAGCAAUACCGCGUGAAUGAUGAAGGCCUUAGGAUUGUAAAGUUCUUUUAGUUGGAAAGAUAAUGACGGUACCAACAGAAAAAGCCCCGGCUAACUCCGUGCCAGCAGCCGCCGUAA
RNAcentral lists this ribosomal RNA (466 nucleotides) under uncultured bacterium. RNAcentral's name for it is "partial 16S ribosomal RNA". It matches the Rfam family "Bacterial small subunit ribosomal RNA", at positions 29 to 523 of the family's 1533-position model. The record is from RNAcentral.